AUGUCAGGAGGGGAGGAAGCGGAGUAGCAAAGCCAACGAGCCUACGAACAGAAACCGGAUAUAAGGCUAAACGGAGGGUAAGGUUGCCGAACAAACUGAAGCCCGAAAGGUAAGCGUAAAACCGAAGCAGUAAAUCCGGAGGUUGUGCGGCGAAAGAAU
Molecule: non-coding RNA, 159 nt
Filed under: bovine gut metagenome
Source: RNAcentral